GCGAACGCUGGCGGCAGGCUUAACACAUGCAGGUCGAGCGGGCACCUUUCGGGGUGUCAGCGGCAGACGGGUGAGUAACGCGUGGGAACGUGCCCUCUGGUUCGGAAUAACUCAGGGAAACUUGAGCUAAUACCGGAUACGCCCUUUUGGGGAAAGGCUUGCUGCCGGAGGAUCGGCCCGCGUCUGAUUAGCUAGUUGGUGAGGUAACGGCUCACCAAGGCGACGAUCAGUAGCUGGUCUGAGAGGAUGAUCAGCCACACUGGGACUGAGACACGGCCCAGACUCCUACGGGAGGCAGCAGUGGGGAAUAUUGGACAAUGGGCGCAAGCCUGAUCCAGCCAUGCCGCGUGAGUGAUGAAGGCCUUAGGGUUGUAAAGCUCUUUUAUCCGGGACGAUAAUGACGGUACCGGAGGAAUAAGCCCCGGCUAACUUCGUG
Molecule: ribosomal RNA, 436 nt
Filed under: uncultured bacterium
Lineage: Bacteria
Description: partial 16S ribosomal RNA
Rfam family: Bacterial small subunit ribosomal RNA
Source: RNAcentral